UACAGAGGGUGCAAGCGUUGUUCGGAAUUAUUGGGCGUAAAGGGCGCGUAGGCGGCGCGGUAAGUCACUUGUGAAAUCUCUGAGCUUAACUCAGAACGGCCAAGUGAUACUGCAGUGCUAGAGUGUGGAAGGGGCAAUCGGAAUUCUUGGUGUAGCGGUGAAAUGCGUAGAUAUCAAGAGGAACACCUGAGGUGAAGACGGGUUGCUGGGCCAACACUGACGCUGAGGCGCGAAAGCCAGGGGAGCAAACGGG
RNAcentral lists this ribosomal RNA (253 nucleotides) under uncultured bacterium. RNAcentral describes it as "partial 16S ribosomal RNA". It matches the Rfam family "Bacterial small subunit ribosomal RNA", at positions 524 to 776 of the family's 1533-position model. The record is from RNAcentral.